This 794-nucleotide ribosomal RNA is filed under the name uncultured archaeon. RNAcentral describes it as "bacterial SSU rRNA". It matches the Rfam family "Archaeal small subunit ribosomal RNA", at positions 85 to 879 of the family's 1478-position model. The record is from RNAcentral.
ACCGCUCAGUAACACGUGGACAACCUACCCAAAGGUCUGGGAUAACUCCGGGAAACUGGGGAUAAUACCGGAUAGGUCAAGAGUACUGGAAGGGUUUUUUGAUUGAAAGCUCUGGCGCCUUUGGAUGGGUCUGCGGCUGAUUAGGUUGACGCCGGUGUAAAGUACCGGCGUGCCGAUUAUCAGUACGGGUUGUGGGAGCAAGAGCCCGGAGAUGGAUUCUGAGACACGAAUCCAGGCCCUACGGGGCGCAGCAGGCGCGAAAACUCUACAAUGCAGGCAACUGCGAUAGGGGAACAUCGAGUGGCAUCUACAUUAGGUGUCUGUCCAGCUGUCUAAAAAACGGCUGUUAGCAAGGGCCGGGCAAGACCGGUGCCAGCCGCCGCGGUAAUACCGGCGGCUCGAGUGGUGGCCGAUAUUAUUGAGUCUAAAGGGUCCGUAGCCGGCUUUGCAAGUCUUGUGGGAAAUCCUGCGGCUUAACCGUUGGGCGUCUGCGGGAUACUACAUUGCUUGGGACUGGGAGAGGUAGGAGGUACUCAGGGGGUAGGAGUGAAAUCCUGUAAUCCUCUGGGGACCACCGGUGGCGAAGGCGUCCUACCAGAACAGGUCCGACGGUGAGGGACGAAAGCUAGGGGCACGAACCGGAUUAGAUACCCGGGUAGUCCUAGCCGUAAACGAUGCCCGCUAGGUGUCACGGCAGUCGUGAACUGCCGUGGUGCCGUAGGGAAGCCGUGAAGCGGGCCACUUGGGAAGUACGACCGCAAGGUUGAAACUUAAAGGAAUUGGCGGGGGAGCAC